CUCACCCUGCCCUGGUACACAACACCCAACAGUCUGGGCAAAGCGUGUGUGGAGGGAUGGAGAGGACACAAACCAGGGCAGAAAAAUGCCUCAAGUCGACGUUUGGUGCCUGCCCGCUUGGCUGUCAGCAGCACCAGCCCCAACACUGCGCCGAUGCUUCAUGUGCCUUUGUUUUGGGUGGUAUGGUUACACGGCCUCUGUCUCGGUGCCUCUGAAAUGCAGGUGCUGAGAUAACAGGAAGAGAUAACCCCACAACAGAGGAGCUCUGCGCGCAGCAGCGCUCAUUGGCUGCGUUUCCCAUGCGCUUUCUCUGCCUACAUAAUAACAGAAGGAAGGCAUUUGGGGUUGCUGCCUGCCCUCCCACACAAAUACCGACUUUCAUUUCCAAUCCUUCUUGGUGACUCGGGCAGGUGAGCGAGCAUGGGGUGACCGUGGGGUAAAAUUAAAAGCUUGGAAACCAAAACCAAACGGCCUGUGGGCAUCCGGAAACUGUUUCCAUGCUCACCGCUCCCCGGCUGAGUCCUGGUGAGGCAGAGCGGGUGGUAAGUCCGGUGUGUUAGGACAACCAAGCCCUUGAUGAGCCUCCUGCUGACGUGUCGUGCCUGUUGGGACAGCCUGGGACCUCUCUGGUGGCAGCCCGAGUCAGACAACCCCUUCUUCCUCUGUUAAAUGCAAGGAUCCUCUGUGCUUGAGCUCGUACCUUCCAGUGGAAUUUGCAUGCCCUGCCUGUUUCAGCUUGUAAGCCACCUGGGACAGCAAAGAUGUUUUAUCUGCAGUGACAAAUUGCUGCAUGAAGUUACAGUGCUACUUGAAAAGAACAGCCUCCCUAACAACAUCGCAGCCUGCUGGCCAUGAUAUACCUGGGAGAAGGUUAAAGAAAACAAAGGAACUCCAGACUGAUGUGGAGAAGGGCAGGGGAAUAUUGCCUCACAGACAAAAUAUACGGCAAGAACAGGUUUUUGGCAGAAAAGAAGCAGGUCGGAGGAAGUCAGAGGCUUUUCAGCCUCUCAAAGCUUGCUGGUGACUGGAGGCUUCUUCACUUCCAUGUAGCAUUUUCCACAGCUGCCCGUG
Oxyura jamaicensis (ruddy duck) is the source of this 1071-nucleotide long non-coding RNA. RefSeq lists it as uncharacterized. The transcript has 4 exons. NCBI's taxonomy places the organism in Eukaryota, Metazoa, Chordata, Aves, Anseriformes, Anatidae. The record is from RefSeq and is a predicted model, not a curated record.